AUUGAACGCUGGCGGCAGGCCUAACACAUGCAAGUCGAGCGGAUGAAGGGAGCUUGCUCCUGGAUUCAGCGGCGGACGGGUGAGUAAUGCCUAGGAAUCUGCCUGGUAGUGGGGGAUAACGUCCGGAAACGGGCGCUAAUACCGCAUACGUCCUGAGGGAGAAAGUGGGGGAUCUUCGGACCUCACGCUAUCAGAUGAGCCUAGGUGGGAUUAGCUAGUUGGUGGGGUAAAGGCCUACCAAGGAGACGAUCCGUAACUGGUCUGAGAGGAUGAUCAGUCACACUGGAACUGGGACACGGUCCAGACUCCUACGGGAGGCACCAGUGGGGAAUAUUGGACAAUGGGCGAAAGCCUGGUCCAGCCAUGCCGCGUGUGUGAAGAAGGUCUUCGGAUUGUAAAGCACUUUAAGUUGGGAGGAAGGGCAGUAAGUUAAUACCUUGCUGUUUUGACGUUACCAACAGAAUAAGCACCGGCUAACUUCGUG
RNAcentral lists this ribosomal RNA (484 nucleotides) under uncultured bacterium. RNAcentral's name for it is "partial 16S ribosomal RNA". It matches the Rfam family "Bacterial small subunit ribosomal RNA", at positions 30 to 507 of the family's 1533-position model. The record is from RNAcentral.